Molecule: small RNA, 207 nt
Filed under: Paramuricea clavata
Lineage: Eukaryota; Metazoa; Cnidaria; Anthozoa; Malacalcyonacea; Plexauridae
Source: RNAcentral
GCGCUAUUUAGGGGGGAGGGCGAGGGUGGGAGAAACUAGGGGGGGGGGGAUGCGAAGGCGAGAGAAAGAGAGCGAGGAAAAAUGGGAGGGGCGAAAAAGAAAUAGCUAUUUCUUUCUCGCCCCUCCCAUUUUUCCUCGCUCUCUUUCUCUCGCCUUCGCAUCCCCUCCCUAGCUUCUCCCACCCUCGCCCUCCCCCGUAAAUAGCGC